This 301-nucleotide ribosomal RNA is filed under the name uncultured bacterium. RNAcentral's name for it is "partial 16S ribosomal RNA". It matches the Rfam family "Bacterial small subunit ribosomal RNA", at positions 509 to 808 of the family's 1533-position model. The record is from RNAcentral.
CAGCCGCCGCGGUAAUACGUAGGUCCCGAGCGUUGUCCGGAUUUAUUGGGCGUAAAGCGAGCGCAGGCGGUUAGAUAAGUCUGAAGUUAAAGGCUGUGGCUUGACCAUAGUACGCUUUGGAAACUGUUUAACUUGAGUGCAAGAGGGGAGAGUGGAAUUCCAUGUGUAGCGGUGAAAUGCGUAGAUAUAUGGAGGAACACCGGUGGCGAAAGCGGCUCUCUGGCUUGUAACUGACGCUGAGGCUCGAAAGCGUGGGGAGCAAACAGGAUUAGAUACCCGCGUAGUCCCUGUCUCUUAUACA